GUGAGUCAGCCACCUGGGGCUGCAGCCCUUGUUAGAGAAUGUUAAACGAGCAGGUCUCUGAGGAGGGGAGCUCAGCUUGGAGGGGUCUUGCCUGAGGACUGGGUGUAGCAGUGCCUCCUCUUGCCCUGAUAGGGGUUGGUAGCUUUGUGCAACAUUUGCUUGAUGUUGCAGGGCAAGGAAGAGAGUAUGUGGCUAGGGCUGGUUGGAGGCUGCAUCUAACUUAACUUUUCCAGGAUCUACAGGAGCCGGCUUUGUUACCAGCCAGAAGAAUUAGCUGUGAGCGGGGCCUAGACACGUGCACUGCUGUGUUUGCUGCUGUUACACGAGGGCUGUCAGCACGGUGAUGGGGAGGCAGUGGAGAAGCUGAAGAGGUGAAGCAAUUUAGGACUCAACCCAAAGGUUAUCCAAGCCAUCAGGAAGCUUCGUGUUGGUUCCUGCAGCCUUCGGCAGAGGCGCAGCUCCCCUCACUGUAACCACAUCUGAGCCACUGCAACAGGCAUUACUUAAUAGCGCUGAGAAGAGAAGCAGAAGAAAAUUUCUUUGAAGUUUUACCUGGACCUGAAGAGGCAGGAGGAGAGAAGACAAAGUGGAAAUACGGGUGAAUGGAGGAGAGCCAUUUGCCACCAUCCAAACAGGUCCAUUUCAACCACUUUCCUGUUGCGUACCUGCUUUUAGCCAGAGCCACUUGGUGCAAGCAGAGGUUAGAGACCUUUGGGGCUAACGCUAAAGUUCCAGCCUUUCUUCUGUUUCUUCUUAAUGUGAUGAAACCUGAGUCUGAAUGGGGAAAGUUCAUUCGUAAUGUGGCCAGCCCUGCGGUGCUGAGCUGAGAAAGUCUGCGGUUAUCACUUCCUCCUCUGGGGCGUUUGUGGAUGACCAUUGCUGCCCUGAGAGCGCCCGCCUGCUCGGCAGCCCCUGCCCAGUGUGCAGCCACGCAGCACGGUGUAGCCCACCCACAGCGAUGCUUUGUGCCAGCACCACCUGGCUGGGGGUUACGGCCCCAGGGCUCAGCACUCCUACCUUUUGCCUCCCCAUGCACAAAAGGCCGGCGUAGGUCUCCCCGACCUGGUGUGCCACCAAGGGAGCUUGCUUGUGAGUUUGUACAGUGCGUGGCUAGGAAUCAGCUGUAGCAAUCUGCCCACAGAACUCAAGCAACACCAGAAAAACUCAUUAUUCAAUACCUUAUUUCAUGCUCUGGAAACAAGAGCAGCAACCCCAGCCCUUCCUCCCCUUACAGCGGUGCGGUUUCCGUCAGUCUUUUCAACUCCUAAUGAGAUUUAGUGCUGGGGAGGGAUGUUUGUGCCAGAAGGACCGAGGCUUCUGAUCAAAAAGGCAUUGAAGUGUGCAGAAAAGUUCCUACAACAUUUGGAUCAAACCCCACUUCUGUAUGGAAGAACAGAGCUAAUGGCACCUUAGUGAAGGUUUUAG
Molecule: long non-coding RNA, 1425 nt
Organism: Gallus gallus (chicken)
Lineage: Eukaryota; Metazoa; Chordata; Aves; Galliformes; Phasianidae
Source: Ensembl